GGAAUAUUGGACAAUGGGUGCGAGCCUGAUCCAGCCAUGCCGCGUGCAGGAAGAAGGCGUUAUGCGUUGUAAACUGCUUUUGCCAGGGGAUAAAAUAACUGUGCGCAGUUGAUUGAAGGUACCUGGUGAAUAAGCCACGGCUAACUACGUGCCAGCAGCCGCGGUAAUACGUAGGUGGCAAGCGUUGUCCGGAUUUAUUGGGUUUAAAGGGUGCGUAGGCGGCCCUGUAAGUCAGUGGUGAAAUAUCUCAGCUUAACUGAGAGGGUGCCAUUGAUACUGCGGGGCUUGAGUACAGAUGAGGUAGGCGGAAUUGACGGUGUAGCGGUGAAAUGCAUAGAUAUCGUCAAGAACACCGAUAGCGAAGGCAGCUUACCAAGCUGUAACUGACGCUGAGGCACGAAA
This 402-nucleotide ribosomal RNA is filed under the name uncultured bacterium. Its description in RNAcentral is "bacterial SSU rRNA". It matches the Rfam family "Bacterial small subunit ribosomal RNA", at positions 358 to 758 of the family's 1533-position model. The record is from RNAcentral.